This 609-nucleotide ribosomal RNA is filed under the name uncultured bacterium. RNAcentral's name for it is "bacterial SSU rRNA". It matches the Rfam family "Bacterial small subunit ribosomal RNA", at positions 338 to 1533 of the family's 1533-position model. The record is from RNAcentral.
CCUACGGGAGGCAGCAGUGGGGAAUAUUGCACAAUGGGCGGAAGCCUGAUGCAGCGACGCCGCGUGAGGGAUGAAGGCCUUCGGGUUGUAAACCUCUUUCAGCAGGGACGAAGCGUGAGUGACGGUACCUGCAGAAGAAGCACCGGCUAACUACGUGCCAGCAGCCGCGGUAAUACGUAGGGUGCGAGCGUUGUCCGGAAUUACUGGGCGUAAAGAGUUCGUAGGCGGUUUGUCGCGUCGUUUGUGAAAACCCGGGGCUCAACUUCGGGCUUGCAGGCGAUACGGGCAGACUUGAGUGUUUCAGGGGAGACUGGAAUUCCUGGUGUAGCGGUGAAAUGCGCAGAUAUCAGGAGGAACACCGGUGGCGAAGGCGGGUCUCUGGGAAACAACUGACGCUGAGGAACGAAAGCGUGGGUAGCAAACAGGAUUAGAUACCCUGGUAGUCCACGCCGUAAACGGUGGGCGCUAGGUGUGGGUUCCUUCCACGGGAUCUGUGCCGUAGCUAACGCAUUAAGCGCCCCGCCUGGGGAGUACGGCCGCAAGGCUAAAACUCAAAAUGAAGUAGACGGCGUGAGACGUUGUCCGAACGGACGACGACGAGGGAGGAGG